ACGGAAGGCAGCAGUGGGGUAUAUUGGACAAUGGGGGCAACCCUGAUCCAGCGACGCCGCGUGAGUGAAGAAGUAUUUCGGUAUGUAAAGCUCUAUCAGCAGGGAAGAAAAAGCGCAAGCAUUGACUGUACCUGACUAAGAAGCCCCGGCUAAAUACGUGCCAGCAGCCGCGGUAAUACGUAUGGUGCAAGCGUUAUCCGGAUUUACUGGGUGUAAAGGGAGCGUAGGCGGUCUGGCAAGUCUGAUGUGAAAACCCGGGGCUUAACCUCGGGAUUGCAUUGGAAACUGUCGGACUUGAGUGUCGGAGAGGAAAGCGGAAUUCCUAGUGUAGCGGUGAAAUGCGUAGAUAUUAGGAGGAACACCAGUGGCGAAGGCGGCUUUCUGGACGAUAACUGACGCUGAGGCUCGAAAGCGUGGGGAGCAAACAGGAUUAGAUACCCUGGUA
RNAcentral lists this ribosomal RNA (445 nucleotides) under uncultured Lachnospiraceae bacterium. RNAcentral describes it as "partial 16S ribosomal RNA". It matches the Rfam family "Bacterial small subunit ribosomal RNA", at positions 341 to 792 of the family's 1533-position model. The record is from RNAcentral. Lineage: Bacteria; Bacillati; Bacillota; Clostridia; Lachnospirales; Lachnospiraceae.